Molecule: ribosomal RNA, 405 nt
Filed under: uncultured bacterium
Lineage: Bacteria
Description: partial 16S ribosomal RNA
Rfam family: Bacterial small subunit ribosomal RNA
Source: RNAcentral
AUUGAACGCUAGCGGGAUGCUUUACACAUGCAAGUCGAACGAGUGGCGGACGGGUGAGUAAUAUCUCGGAACGUGCCCAGUAGCGGGGGAUAACUACUGGAAAGAGUGGCUACUACCGCAUACUAUUGUAGCGGCCGAGAUGGGAUUAGCUGGUUGGUGGGGUAAAGGCUCACCAAGGCAACGAUCCGUAGCUGGUUUGAGAGGAUGACCAGCCACACUGGAACUGCGACACGGCCCAGACUCCUACGGGAGGCAGCAGUGGGGAAUUUUGGACAAUGGGGGCAACCCUGAUCCAGCCAUGCCGCGUGUAUGAGAAGGCCUUCGGGUGGUAAAGUACUUUUGGCAGAGAAGCGGUAUCUGCAGAAUAAGCACCGGCUAACUACGUGCCAGCAGCCGCGGUAAUAC